This 24-nucleotide unclassified non-coding RNA is filed under the name Mus musculus (house mouse). RNAcentral describes it as "oocyte_clustered_small_RNA9958". Lineage: Eukaryota; Metazoa; Chordata; Mammalia; Rodentia; Muridae. The record is from RNAcentral.
UGUAGUUAAAUUAGGGAAAUGCUG